UACAGAGGGUGCGAGCGUUAAUCGGAAUUACUGGGCGUAAAGCGCACGUAGGCGGCUUGGUAUGUCGGGUGUGAAAUCCCCGGGCUCAACCUGGGAACUGCAUCCGAAACUGCCUUGCUCGAGUAUGGGAGAGGGAAGUGGAAUUUCCGGUGUAGCGGUGAAAUGCGUAGAUAUCGGAAGGAACAUCAGUGGCGAAGGCGACUUCCUGGGCCAAUACUGACGCUCAGGUGCGAAAGCGUGGGGAGCAAACAGG
This 253-nucleotide ribosomal RNA is filed under the name uncultured bacterium. Its description in RNAcentral is "partial 16S ribosomal RNA". It matches the Rfam family "Bacterial small subunit ribosomal RNA", at positions 524 to 776 of the family's 1533-position model. The record is from RNAcentral.